GUAAAGAAAAGGAAUUUUUUGAAUUAGUUACAUUUUUUGAUUUUUAAAAAUAAGUAUCCCCAUCCUUAAAACGGAUAUCUAUAAUUAGAUAUAUAUCUUUAUAUGAGUUGAAUCUAUAAGUCGAUAUUACAUCUUGAAAUCUAUUAAGUUUUUCAACUUUUCAAUAUCGAGCCUCUCAACUGAACUAAUCUAAAAGAAGAACAUGCAUGUCUAUCCAUCCAUAAAAUUUCAAAGGAAACGUGCUUUCAUACAUAAGAUCCAUGACCAGUCGUAACGAAUUCCAAGAAUUUUUAUCAUUAAUCGAUCUGUUCCAAUCUCUCGGAGGAAGAAACGUGAAACAUUUCACGGUCGUGCAAGCCGAGUCUGAUCACGAGCCGGUCUAAUCUACUAGGAGUCGGUAAGAGUUUUCUCGAUAUUUAGCACUUUCUGUCCUCUUAAUUUACGAGAGUGUUCGUUUGUGCCGUGAGUGCCGCCAAUAUUUCCAGAAAAUAUUUCACUCCGUCACGAAUAAACUAUACGUGAGUGAAUUUCUUUUUUAUUGGAUAAGAUUUAGAAAUUGAUGUUGUAACUUUCUUGUGAAACUAGAAUAAAAAUGGUUCGUUGGAGAAUAAUGAUCAAUUUAUUUGAUCUAACACAGAUAGAUCUAUGGCACGUGAAUUAUAGGUUAUAAUUUUUUUUAUAUGUCAUAAUAGAAGUAAAAAAUUUGUUUUUACAG
Long non-coding RNA from Apis mellifera (honey bee), 715 nucleotides. RefSeq lists it as uncharacterized. The record is from RefSeq and is a predicted model, not a curated record. NCBI's taxonomy places the organism in Eukaryota, Metazoa, Arthropoda, Insecta, Hymenoptera, Apidae. The transcript is spliced from 3 exons.